This 133-nucleotide ribosomal RNA is filed under the name Cordyceps sp. RNAcentral's name for it is "partial large subunit ribosomal RNA". Lineage: Eukaryota; Fungi; Ascomycota; Sordariomycetes; Hypocreales; Cordycipitaceae. The record is from RNAcentral.
AAGCGCUCAUGACCAGACUUGGGCCCGGUGAAUCAUCCAGCGUUCUCGCUGGUGCACUUUGCCGGGCUCAGGCCAGCAUCAGUUUGCUUCGGGGGAUAAAGGCUUUGGGAAUGUGGCUCCUCCGGGAGUGUUA